GAGUUUGAUUCUGGCUCAGGAUAAACGCUGGCGGCGUGCCUAACCCAUGCAAGUCGAACGGCCUCGCAAGAGGCAGUGGCGGACGGGUGAGUAACACGUAGAAAUCUGCCUCGCCGGAGGGAAUAACUCCUCGAAAGAAGAGCUAAUACCCAAAAGGAUCCGCAAGGAUCAGAGUCCGCAAGGGCCUGGCGAGAGGAGUCUGCGGCCCAUCAGCUAGUUGGUGGGGUAACGGCCUACCAAGGCUACGACGGGUAGGGGGUCUGAGAGGAUGUCCCCCCACACUGGAACUGAAACACGGUCCAGACACCUACGGGUGGCAGCAGGGAGGAAUAUUGGACAAUGGGGGAAACCCUGAUCCAGCAACGCCGCGUGAGGGAUGAAGGCCUUCGGGCUGUAAACCUCUUUUCAAGGAGAAGAGUAAGGACGGUAUCCUUGGAAUAAGUCACGGCUAACUACGUGCCAGCAGCCGCGGUAAUACGUAGGUGGCGAGCGUUAUCCGGAUUUACUGGGCGUAAAGCGCUUGCAGGCGGCUUUGUAAGUUGGGCGUGAAAGCUCCGGGCUUAACCCGG
This 569-nucleotide ribosomal RNA is filed under the name uncultured bacterium. RNAcentral describes it as "bacterial SSU rRNA". It matches the Rfam family "Bacterial small subunit ribosomal RNA", at positions 9 to 617 of the family's 1533-position model. The record is from RNAcentral.